RNAcentral lists this ribosomal RNA (481 nucleotides) under uncultured bacterium. RNAcentral describes it as "partial 16S ribosomal RNA". It matches the Rfam family "Bacterial small subunit ribosomal RNA", at positions 28 to 507 of the family's 1533-position model. The record is from RNAcentral.
GACGAACGUUGGCGGCGUGCUUAAUACAUGCAAGUCAACUGAAGCAGUGGUAGCAAUAUCGCUGUGGAGGUGGCGCACGGGUGAGUAACACGUAGGUAAUCUGCCUUCAGGUCUGGCAUAACUCCGGGAAACCGGGGCUAAUAGCAGAUGAUGCAGCGGCUCGACAUCGAGACAGUUGUUAAAGCUAUGGCGCCUGAAGAUGAGCCUGCGUCUGAUUAGCUAGUUGGCGGGGUAACGGCCCACCAAGGCAACGAUCAGUAGCUGGGCUGAGAGGAUGAUCAGCAACACUGGAACUGAGACACGGUCCAGACUCCUACGGGAGGCAGCAGUAAGGAAUAAUGCUCAAUGGGUGAAAUCCUGAAGCAGCAACGCCGCGUGAGGGACGAAGGGCUUUUGCUUGUAAACCUCUGUAGUGAGAGAAAAAAAUCCCAAUCUUUGGGACAUGAUGGUAUCUCAAAAGUAAGCCCCGGCUAACUACGUG